AAUGGGCGAAAGCCUGACGGAGCAAUACCGCGUGAGGGAGGAAGGCUCUUGGGUUGUAAACCUCUUUUCUCAAGGAAGAACACAAUGACGGUACUUGAGGAAUAAGCAUCGGCUAACUCCGUGCCAGCAGCCGCGGUAAUACGGAGGAUGCAAGCGUUAUCCGGAAUGAUUGGGCGUAAAGCGUCCGCAGGUGGCUGUGUAAGUCUGCUGUUAAAUAGUGAGGCUCAACCUCAUAAAGGCAGUGGAAACUACACGGCUAGAGUGCGUUCGGGGCAGAGGGAAUUCCUGGUGUAGCGGUGAAAUGCGUAGAGAUCAGGAAGAACACCGGUGGCGAAAGCGCUCUGCUAGGCCGCAACUGACACUGAGGGACGAAAGCUAGGGGAGCGAAUGGGAUUAGAUACCCC
RNAcentral lists this ribosomal RNA (404 nucleotides) under uncultured cyanobacterium. RNAcentral's name for it is "bacterial SSU rRNA". It matches the Rfam family "Bacterial small subunit ribosomal RNA", at positions 370 to 788 of the family's 1533-position model. Lineage: Bacteria; Bacillati; Cyanobacteriota. The record is from RNAcentral.